GAUGAACGCUGGCGGCGUGCCUAAUACAUGCAAGUCGAGCGAACAGACGAGGCUGCUUCCACUCUCUAGCGUUAGCGGGGGACGGGUUGGCUACACGUCUGUAACCUACCUAUGAAUCAGGUACGACUUCGGGAAACCGUACCGAAUACCGCAUGAUAUUGAACUUCGCGUGACUUAAUAGCUAACGCCAUUUCUGCUGUCUAUUAUAGAUGGACCCGCGGUGUAUUAGCAAGUUGGUGAGGUAACGGCUCACCAAGGCAACGAUACGUAGCCGACCUGAGAGGGUGAUCAGCCACACUGGAACUGAGACACGGCCCAGACUCCUACGGGAGGCAGCAGUAGGGAAUCUUCCGCAAUGGGCGAAAGCCUGACGGAGCAAUGCCGCGUGAGUGAAGAAGGUUUUCGGAUCGUAAAACUCUGUUGUAAGGGAAGAAAAAGUGUGUUAGUAACUGUUGGUAUCUUGACGGUACCUUAACAGAAAGCCACGGCUAACUACGUG
This 499-nucleotide ribosomal RNA is filed under the name uncultured bacterium. RNAcentral's name for it is "partial 16S ribosomal RNA". It matches the Rfam family "Bacterial small subunit ribosomal RNA", at positions 28 to 507 of the family's 1533-position model. The record is from RNAcentral.